Molecule: ribosomal RNA, 722 nt
Filed under: Priestia endophytica
Lineage: Bacteria; Bacillati; Bacillota; Bacilli; Caryophanales; Bacillaceae
Description: bacterial SSU rRNA
Rfam family: Bacterial small subunit ribosomal RNA
Source: RNAcentral
UUUUGAAAAGCUUGCUUUUCAAAACUUAGCGGCGGACGGGUGAGUAACACGUGGGCAACCUGCCCUUGAGACGGGGAUAACUCCGGGAAACCGGAGCUAAUACCGGAUAACACAUAUCUUCGCAUGAGGAUAUGUUAGAAGGUGGCUUUUAGCUACCACUCAAGGAUGGGCCCGCGGCGCAUUAGCUAGUUGGUGAGGUAACGGCUCACCAAGGCGACGAUGCGUAGCCGACCUGAGAGGGUGAUCGGCCACACUGGGACUGAGACACGGCCCAGACUCCUACGGGAGGCAGCAGUAGGGAAUCUUCCGCAAUGGACGAAAGUCUGACGGAGCAACGCCGCGUGAGUGAUGAAGGUUUUCGGAUCGUAAAGCUCUGUUGUUAGGGAAGAACAAGUACCUGUUAAAUAAGCAGGUACCUUGACGGUACCUAACCAGAAAGCCACGGCUAACUACGUGCCAGCAGCCGCGGUAAUACGUAGGUGGCAAGCGUUGUCCGGAAUUAUUGGGCGUAAAGCGCGCGCAGGCGGUUCCUUAAGUCUGAUGUGAAAGCCCACGGCUCAACCGUGGAGGGUCAUUGGAAACUGGGGAACUUGAGUGCAGAAGAGGAGAGCGGAAUUCCACGUGUAGCGGUGAAAUGCGUAGAGAUGUGGAGGAACACCAGUGGCGAAGGCGGCUCUCUGGUCUGUAACUGACGCUGAGGCGCGAAAGCGUGGGGAGCGAAC